RNAcentral lists this transfer RNA (70 nucleotides) under Cavia porcellus (domestic guinea pig). It matches the Rfam family "tRNA". Rfam says of the family: Transfer RNA (tRNA) molecules are approximately 80 nucleotides in length. Their secondary structure includes four short double-helical elements and three loops (D, anti-codon, and T loops). The record is from Rfam by way of RNAcentral. Lineage: Eukaryota; Metazoa; Chordata; Mammalia; Rodentia; Caviidae.
GGGAUAUAGCUCAGCAGCAUAAGCACCUGCCUGGCAAGCAUGAGGUCAUGAGUUCGAUUCUCAGUACCCA